AAAAUGGCGGAAGAUCAUCUGUUGCAACUGAGGGCAGGACUGUGAGGAAGUCUAUCUUACCAACAGUGACAAGGAGGUCUUUACCAGCGCCAAGGGGGGUCAAUAAGGAAGACAUGAGCAACA
Long non-coding RNA from Neltuma alba, 123 nucleotides. RefSeq lists it as uncharacterized. NCBI's taxonomy places the organism in Eukaryota, Viridiplantae, Streptophyta, Magnoliopsida, Fabales, Fabaceae. The record is from RefSeq and is a predicted model, not a curated record. The transcript has 3 exons.